AGAGUUUGAUCCUGGCUCAGAAUCAACGCUGGCGGCGCGCUUAACACAUGCAAGUCGCACGAGAAAGUGGGAAACCAUGAGUACAGUGGCGUACGGGUGAGUAACACGUGGGUAAUCUACCUCUGAGUGGGGAAUAACCCUGGGAAACCGGGGCUAAUACCGCAUAAUCUCGAGAGAGGAAAGCAGCAAUGCGCUGAGAGAGGAGCCCGCGGCCGAUUAGCUAGUUGGUAGGGUAAGAGCCUACCAAGGCAGAGAUCGGUAGCCGGCCUGAGAGGGCACACGGCCACACUGGCACUGAAACACGGGCCAGACUCCUACGGGAGGCAGCAGUGGGGAAUCUUGCACAAUGGGGGAAACCCUGAUGCAGCGACGCCGCGUGAGCGAUGAAGCCCUUCGGGGUGUAAAGCUCUUUCGUCAGGGAAGAUCAUGACGGUACCUGGAGAAGCAGCUGCGGCUAACUACGUGCCAGCAGCCGCGGUAAUACGUAGGCAGCGAGCGUUGUUCGGAGUUACUGGGCGUAAAGGGUGUGUAGGCGGUUCUUUAAGUUUGGUGUGAAAUCUCCCGGCUCAACCGGGAGGGUGCGCCGAAUACUGAGGGACUUGGAGUGCGGGAGAGGAAAGUGGAAUUCCUGGUGUAGCGGUGAAAUGCGUAGAUAUCAGGAGGAACACCGGUGGUGUAGACGGCUUUCUGGACCGUAACUGACGCUGAGACACGAAAGCGUGGGUAGCAAACAGGAUUAGAUACCCUGGUAGUCCACGCCCUAAACGAUGCAUAUUUGGUGUGGGUCAUUCAGUUGAUCCGUGCCGGAGCUAACGCGUUAAAUAUGCCGCCUGGGGAGUACAGUCGCAAGGCUGAAACUCAAAGGAAUUGACGGGGCCCGCACAAGCGGUGGAGCAUGUGGUUCAAUUCGACGCAACGCGAAGAACCUUACCUGGGCUCGAACGGCUGGUCAACGGAGGUGGAAACAUCUUUAACC
This 976-nucleotide ribosomal RNA is filed under the name uncultured bacterium. RNAcentral describes it as "bacterial SSU rRNA". It matches the Rfam family "Bacterial small subunit ribosomal RNA", at positions 8 to 1017 of the family's 1533-position model. The record is from RNAcentral.